Molecule: long non-coding RNA, 1162 nt
Filed under: Mytilus galloprovincialis (Mediterranean mussel)
Lineage: Eukaryota; Metazoa; Mollusca; Bivalvia; Mytilida; Mytilidae
Source: RNAcentral
GACGGACAACGGUAUACCAUAAUACGCCCCGUUCUAAAAAGACGACGGGCGUAUAAAAAUCUGAACAUUUUUUUCAAGUAGUCACUGAACCAUGAAAAUGAGGUCAAUGACAUUGGACAUGUGACUGACGGAACUUCGUAACAUGAGGCAUCUAUAUACAAAGUAUGAACCAUCCUGGUCUUUCACCUUCUAAAAUACAAAGCUUUUAAUAAGUGAGCUAACGCCGACACCCCCGUCGUAGACUCCACCGGAUCAUUAUCCCUAUGUCGAGCUUUUUGCGACAAAAGUCGCAGGCUAGACAAAAAUGACACGAUUUAUAACAGUAGCAAAAUAAGUGUACAAAAUAAUACUGUGAAACACUAUGUUAUCAUUAAUGCGACACAAUUUGUUAGAUAUAUGCAAUGAUUGACUUGAUCUACAACAGUAGUGGAAAAUAAGUGACAGACAUUGGAACACUAUUUUAUCAAUAAUAUGAUACAAAUUGGUAGAUAGAUGUGGGGACACAAUCUACAACAUUACUGCAGUAAACAAAUAAGAUAUAUACACCAUUCCUGCUCAUUAUUUGUAUGACACGUCAUACUUCAAGAUUAUUUUUAUCUUCAGACAACUGAUGUUUAUUGGUAAUAAAAAGGGAAUAAAGAUAUUAAAAGGCAAUCAGUUUAAAUAUACUGUACACACAUAAAGCUACAGAGGAUGACUCAUUUUGCCAUUUGAUUAGGGACUUUCCAUUUUGAAUUUUCCUCAGAGUUCAGAUUUUUUUUAUUUUACCUUUUUCUUAACUUUUGGGUGAGUCAAACUUGAGUUAGUGAACGGAAACCAAUUUGGGGACGUACCUAUGUACGAAUGGAAGUAGAGGGACAAGGGUAAAUCUUAAUGCAACGGUGGGUUCAUAAACAAAUAUGUUCAUUAUAUGGCUCUGAAACUGUCUCUUGAUCAUACAAAGAAGCUUACGUCCAACUUAUGUAAAUUUCAAUGACGGUUUCAACUUUGAAAAAAUCUUAUACUAAAUAUAAAUGUUAGCUGUAAACACAAACUAAGUUAAACCAGGUGCUCGCAGGGCGCAGCUUUAUACGACCGCAGAGGCGAACCCUGAACAGUUGGGGCAAGUUAUGACACAACAUGCAAGCUUGAUACAGCUCUGAAUUUGGAUUGUGAUUAAAUA